This 374-nucleotide ribosomal RNA is filed under the name uncultured bacterium. RNAcentral describes it as "bacterial SSU rRNA". It matches the Rfam family "Bacterial small subunit ribosomal RNA", at positions 28 to 405 of the family's 1533-position model. The record is from RNAcentral.
GAUGAACGCUAGCGGGAGGCCUAACACAUGCAAGCCGAGCGGUAGAAUUUCUUCGGAGAUUUGAGAGCGGCGUACGGGUGCGUAACACGUGUGCAACCUACCUUUAUCUGGGGGAUAGCCUUUCGAAAGGAAGAUUAAUACCCCAUAAUAUAAUGAAUGGCAUCAUUUAUUAUUGAAAACUCCGGUGGAUAGAGAUGGGCACGCGCAAGAUUAGAUAGUUGGUGAGGUAACGGCUCACCAAGUCAAUGAUCUUUAGGGGCCUGAGAGGGUGAUCCCCCACACUGGUACUGAGACACGGACCAGACUCCUACGGGAGGCAGCAGUGAGGAAUAUUGGACAAUGGGUGAGAGCCUGAUCCAGCCAUCCCGCGUGAA